Molecule: ribosomal RNA, 405 nt
Filed under: uncultured Gammaproteobacteria bacterium
Lineage: Bacteria; Pseudomonadati; Pseudomonadota; Gammaproteobacteria
Description: bacterial SSU rRNA
Rfam family: Bacterial small subunit ribosomal RNA
Source: RNAcentral
UGCAAGUCGAACGGCAGCACGACCUAGCUUGCUAGGUUGGUGGCGAGUGGCGCACGGGUGAGUAAUACGUAGGAAUAUACCUUAAAGAGUGGGACAACCUGGGGAAACACAGGCUAAUACCGCAUGAGCUCUAAGGAGGAAAGCUGGGGACCCGCAAGGGCCUGGCGCUUUAAGAAUAGCCUACGUCCGAUUAGCUAGUUGGUAGGGUAAAGGCCUACCAAGGCGACGAUCGGUAGCUGGUCUGAGAGGAUGAUCAGCCACACUGGGACUGAGACACGGCCCAGACUCCUACGGGAGGCAGCAGUGGGGAAUAUUGGACAAUGGGGGCAACCCUGAUCCAGCGAUGCCGCGUGUGUGAAGAAGGCCUGCGGGUUGUAAAGCACUUUCGGUGGGGAGGAGGAUUGA